ACGGGUGAGUAACACGUGGGUAACCUACCUAUAAGACUGGGAUAACUUCGGGAAACCGGAGCUAAUACCGGAUAAUAUUUCGAACCGCAUGGUUCGAUAGUGAAAGAUGGUUUUGCUAUCACUUAUAGAUGGACCCGCGCCGUAUUAGCUAGUUGGUAAGGUAACGGCUUACCAAGGCGACGAUACGUAGCCGACCUGAGAGGGUGAUCGGCCACACUGGAACUGAGACACGGUCCAGACUCCUACGGGAGGCAGCAGUAGGGAAUCUUCCGCAAUGGGCGAAAGCCUGACGGAGCAACGCCGCGUGAGUGAUGAAGGUCUUCGGAUCGUAAAACUCUGUUAUUAGGGAAGAACAUACGUGUAAGUAACUAUGCACGUCUUGACGGUACCUAAUCAGAAAGCCACGGCUAACUACGUGCCAGCAGCCGCGGUAAUACGUAGGUGGCAAGCGUUAUCCGGAAUUAUUGGGCGUAAAGCGCGCGUAGGCGGUUUUUUAAGUCUGAUGUGAAAGCCCACGGCUCAACCGUGGAGGGUCAUUGGAAACUGGAAAACUUGAGUGCAGAAGAGGAAAGUGGAAUUCCAUGUGUAGCGGUGAAAUGCGCAGAGAUAUGGAGGAACACCAGUGGCGAAGGCGACUUUCUGGUCUGUAACUGACGCUGAUGUGCGAAAGCGUG
Molecule: ribosomal RNA, 674 nt
Filed under: Staphylococcus sp.
Lineage: Bacteria; Bacillati; Bacillota; Bacilli; Caryophanales; Staphylococcaceae
Description: bacterial SSU rRNA
Rfam family: Bacterial small subunit ribosomal RNA
Source: RNAcentral